GUAGUGUUCAUCAACUGCUUGUUGUUUGAGUUUUGGAUUUCACUCUUCUCUUCAAGGAAUAAAUAUUGGAUGGAUUGAGUCUUGGAGCAAAAGAAAGGGACUUGGAGCCGAUUGGAUGCAAAAAUAUGAAGAUUGAGAGACAAAAAUAUGUCUCCCCACAGUCAGAAGCUUUGCACGGCCUGUGCUAGCCUUGGCACGGCCGUGCCACCCUCCAGAGUGCCUUUUGCUGCUUUUUGCUUAGAUUUUAAGCUACUCUAUUUUUAGCCCAAAUGUAAUUGCUUAGAUUUUAAGUCAAGUGUAUGCUAUAAAUAUAGUAGCCAUCCAUCACAAAUCUUCAUCUUUACUUGGAAUACAAUAAGUGACAAUUGCUUUUCUAAUUAAA
RNAcentral lists this long non-coding RNA (382 nucleotides) under Medicago truncatula (barrel medic). RNAcentral describes it as "lncRNA gene47013". Lineage: Eukaryota; Viridiplantae; Streptophyta; Magnoliopsida; Fabales; Fabaceae. The record is from RNAcentral.